RNAcentral lists this ribosomal RNA (429 nucleotides) under Pseudomonadota bacterium. Its description in RNAcentral is "Proteobacteria bacterium partial 16S ribosomal RNA". It matches the Rfam family "Bacterial small subunit ribosomal RNA", at positions 355 to 776 of the family's 1533-position model. The record is from RNAcentral. Lineage: Bacteria; Pseudomonadati; Pseudomonadota.
UGGGGAAUAUUGGACAAUGGGGGGAACCCUGAUCCAGCCAUGCCGCGUGUGUGAAGAAGGUCUUCGGAUUGUAAAGCACUUUAAGUUGGGAGGAAGGGCAGUAAGCGAAUACCUUGCUGUUUUGACGUUACCGACAGAAUAAGCACCGGCUAACUCUGUGCCAGCAGCCGCGGUAAUACAGAGGGUGCAAGCGUUAAUCGGAAUUACUGGGCGUAAAGCGCGCGUAGGUGGUUCGUUAAGUUGAAUGUGAAAGCCCCGGGCUCAACCUGGGAACUGCAUCCAAAACUGGCGAGCGAGAGUAGGGCAGAGGGUGGUGGAAUUUCCUGUGUAGCGGUGAAAUGCGUAGAUAUAGGAAGGAACACCAGUGGCGAAGGCGACCACCUGGGCUCAUACUGACACUGAGGUGCGAAAGCGUGGGGAGCAAACAGG